AAAAACUGCGGCGUUAUUGUUCUCUGUUAGAUUUAUUAAAUACAAUUAAUGUUUUCAUUAAUAUCACCGACCCACUCAUCCAAGACGUCUCAUUCCAUACAUCUCCUAUCUCAAAUUGUUGUGGAUUUACACCUAUAAAUAAGUGAGUUCAAUUCAGUGAAGAUCAUCACUUUUUCCUUCUAAAUCAUUCCGUAGAUUUCUACAGUCUUUUUUCGAUUGUCGGCAACAGAUUAUUUUGUAUUGAUAGCUGCUUGAUUAUGAAACAAAUGUUGCUGUAGAUUUGCUUGAUAAUCAGCUAGAUUCUGUUUUCCAGUGAUUUAUUCCCACCGGAUAACCAGUCUCCGAUCUAAUCGAGGAAUAUUUCGAGACUUUGUUCUUAAUUCUCUCAUGUCUUGCGAUUGAUAGACUCUACAAUCAGGAAUAAAAUCUCUGGUCUUCGGGAUUCUAAUCCUAACCUCUCCUCUUAGUUGAUGCGAGUUUGGUACUUUACCUCCUGAUGCUUCCUGGUUUGCCAAUUUAGCAGAUGAUUUCUUUCGUGCACUCCAUCUCUCGGAUCUUCGUCAAUCUUCGACAAAACCAAAGUCUGCAUGUAUUUUCCAGAAUUGACUUUUCCUCUACUUGAUUGGGUUUUGAUGGGCCUCUUCGUGAUUCUAUCCAAUGGGAUACUAACAUGGGCAACUGGUUUCGUUGAUAUAAAACUCUGGGCUAUUAUAAUACUAGGAUUUUUAUUUGAAGUCUCAAUCGAAUCUGCCCCAUUGGGGAUGUAAUAUUUUACACUUCUUUGUUAUAAUUGAAUAUCAGCUCUCAAAUAAAUAAAUAAACUGAAGAGAUAAAGA
RNAcentral lists this long non-coding RNA (836 nucleotides) under Brassica napus (rape). RNAcentral describes it as "long non-coding RNA (BNAP_LNC010536)". Lineage: Eukaryota; Viridiplantae; Streptophyta; Magnoliopsida; Brassicales; Brassicaceae. The record is from RNAcentral.